GAUGAAGAACGUAGCGAAAUGCGAUAAGUAAUGUGAAUUGCAGAAUUCAGUGAAUCAUCGAAUCUUUGAACGCAUCUUGCGCUCCUUGGUAUUCUGAGGAGCAUGCCUGUUUGAGUGUCAUUAAAUUCUCAACUACACUGACUUUGAAUUGGUGUGGCUUGGAUUUGGGGGGAAAAUUGUUGUGGGCUUUUUGUAUAGUCUGCUCACCUGAAAUUGAUUAGCGGUACCUUUGUGGAACUGUCUACAGGUGUGAUAAUUAUCUACAUCUUAGACAUCUGCUGGAAUGCUGCUUUCUAAACCUUACUUGUAUUGACAAUCUUGACCUCAAAUCAGGUAGGACUACCCGCUGAACUUAAGCAUAUCAAUAAGCGGAGGA
RNAcentral lists this unclassified non-coding RNA (376 nucleotides) under soil metagenome. Its description in RNAcentral is "partial contains 5.8S ribosomal RNA, internal transcribed spacer 2, and large subunit ribosomal RNA". The stretch from base 1 to 120 matches the Rfam family "5.8S ribosomal RNA", at positions 35 to 154 of the family's 154-position model. The record is from RNAcentral.